CAUGGCUCAGGAUGAACGCUGGCGGCGUGCCUAAUACAUGCAAGUAGAACGCUGAAGGAGGAGCUUGCUCUUUCCGGAUGAGUUGCGAACGGGUGAGUAACGCGUAGGUAACCUGCCCGGUAGCGGGGGAUAACUAUUGGAAACGAUAUCUAAUACCGCAUAAUAGUAGAUAUCGCAUGAUAACUGCUUAAAAGGUGCGAUUGCAUCACUCAGAUGGACCUGCGUUGUAUUAGCUAGUUGGUGAGGUAACGGCUCACCAAGGCAACGAUACAUAGCCGACCUGAGAGGGUGAUCGGCCACACUGGUACUGAGACACGGCCCAGACUCCUACGG
This 333-nucleotide ribosomal RNA is filed under the name uncultured bacterium. RNAcentral describes it as "bacterial SSU rRNA". It matches the Rfam family "Bacterial small subunit ribosomal RNA", at positions 18 to 344 of the family's 1533-position model. The record is from RNAcentral.